UCCUGUUUGCCCAGACUGGACACAACACUCGAGGUGUGACCUCACAAAGGGACAAUGCCCUCCCCGCUCAGCAUGGCUCCAUGGAGAGAGCUAAUUAACCUGGCAUAAUUAACCUCUGCAUCCACACCAGCCCUGCUCUGAGCAUCCCAGCCGAGCCAUUUCCAGUUUGUUCUCCCCACCUCAGAGCCCCCCCAGCCAGUGGAGCUGAGUUCAGGGCUCAGACCCAGCUCAGCGGGCAGCAAAUGUGGUCCCUGGGGAGGCUGGGGGGGAGACAAGCCACAAAUUCCUGGUUUUGUGCAGGAAGGGGCAGGACACAGCUCACAGCACUGCCAGGAAAAGGGGACACACAUCAGGCACAUUCCAGCGGUCCCACAAGCAGCUGAACUCACACAGAGCUUCUGUGACUUCAGCUGGACCUGCCACAGCAGCACAGACACGUGUGGCAGAAGUGUUGAUCAGCACAGCCAGCCCACAUAUGAUCUGUACAUCGAGGGGAAGCUCAGCCUGAGAUCCUGUUCCAAAUUAAAAGCAGCUCUGCUGCAAUUAAUCACAGCCUGGUUGAUGAAGCACACACUGAAAGGACAACAAGAAUUCUGGGAAGCUCAGCCUGUCAUCUGCAGCCACAACAAGUCUGCUUUAAACCUCAGGACAGCGAGGGUUUGUCACCCAGCCCCUGGUCUGAGCUGCUCUCAACACUGGCCCCAAAGCAGAUGGCCCAGAAGGUCCCAAAAUAUCAUUUACAAAAGUUUUGAUUUCUCUAUCACAAAAUUAAAUAACACCCAUCCAACUGG
This is a long non-coding RNA of Vidua macroura (Pin-tailed whydah), 791 nucleotides long. RefSeq lists it as uncharacterized. NCBI's taxonomy places the organism in Eukaryota, Metazoa, Chordata, Aves, Passeriformes, Viduidae. The record is from RefSeq and is a predicted model, not a curated record. The transcript is spliced from 2 exons.